GAAGGUUGGGUAACACUAACUGGAGGACCGAACCGACUAAUGUUGAAAAAUUAGCGGAUGACUUGUGGCUGGGGGUGAAAGGCCAAUCAAACCGGGAGAUAGCUGGUUCUCCCCGAAAGCUAUUUAGGUAGCGCCUCGUGAAUUCAUCUCCGGGGGUAGAGCACUGUUUCGGCAAGGGGGUCAUCCCGACUUACCAACCCGAUGCAAACUGCGAAUACCGGAGAAUGUUAUCACGGGAGACACACGGCGGGUGCUAACGUCCGUCGUGAAGAGGGAAACAACCCAGACCGCCAGCUAAGGUCCCAAAGUCAUGGUUAAGUGGGAAACGAUGUGGGAAGGCCCAGACAGCCAGGAUGUUGGCUUAGAAGCAGCCAUCAUUUAAAGAAAGCGUAAUAGCUCACUGGUCGAGUCGGCCUGCGCGGAAGAUGUAACGGGGCUAAACCAUGCACCGAAGCUGCGGCAGCGACGCUUAUGCGUUGUUGGGUA
This 486-nucleotide ribosomal RNA is filed under the name Escherichia coli. Its description in RNAcentral is "partial 23S ribosomal RNA". It matches the Rfam family "Bacterial large subunit ribosomal RNA", at positions 747 to 1230 of the family's 2925-position model. The record is from RNAcentral. Lineage: Bacteria; Pseudomonadati; Pseudomonadota; Gammaproteobacteria; Enterobacterales; Enterobacteriaceae.